UAACGAAUCUUCCGCAAUGCGCGAAAGCGUGACGGGGCAAUGCCGCGUGCAGGAUGAAGCCCUUCGGGGUGUAAACUGCUGUCAGGGUGCAGGAAUGAAAUGACCAUACCCAAAGGAAGCACCGGCUAACUCUGUGCCAGCAGCCGCGGUAAUACAGAGGGUGCGAGCGUUAAUCGGAAUCACUGGGCUUAAAGGGUGCGUAGGCGGAUGCAUAGGCGCUUUGUGAAAUCCCACGGCUCAACCGUGGAAUUGCUUGGCGAACCAUGCGUCUUGAGGUUGGUAGAGGUCACUGGAACGAUAGGUGGAGCGGUGAAAUGCGUAGAUAUCUAUCGGAACGCCAAAGGUGAAGACAGGUGACUGGGCCAAUUCUGACGCUGAGGCACGAAAGCGUGGGGAGCAA
This 400-nucleotide ribosomal RNA is filed under the name uncultured bacterium. Its description in RNAcentral is "bacterial SSU rRNA". It matches the Rfam family "Bacterial small subunit ribosomal RNA", at positions 355 to 771 of the family's 1533-position model. The record is from RNAcentral.